GCUCCCAUAGCUCAACGGACAGAGCGUCCGCCUUCUAAGCGGAAAAUAGAAGUUCGAUUCUUCUUGGGAGCA
This 72-nucleotide transfer RNA is filed under the name Patescibacteria group bacterium. RNAcentral describes it as "tRNA-Arg". It matches the Rfam family "tRNA". From Rfam's summary of the family: Transfer RNA (tRNA) molecules are approximately 80 nucleotides in length. Their secondary structure includes four short double-helical elements and three loops (D, anti-codon, and T loops). The record is from RNAcentral. RNAcentral also lists the same sequence under 1 other name.